Molecule: unclassified non-coding RNA, 372 nt
Filed under: soil metagenome
Description: partial contains 5.8S ribosomal RNA, internal transcribed spacer 2, and large subunit ribosomal RNA
Rfam family: 5.8S ribosomal RNA (bases 1-120)
Source: RNAcentral
GAUGAAGAACGUAGCGAAAUGCGAUAAGUAAUGUGAAUUGCAGAAUUCAGUGAACCAUCGAAUCUUUGAACGCACAUUGCGCCCGGCAGUAAUCUGCCGGGCAUGCCUGUCCGAGCGUCAUUUCUGCCCUCGAGCGCGGCUGCCUUUCGGGGCUGCCGCUGCCCGGCGUUGGGGCGCUACGGGAAGCCUCGCGCUAUCCCCCGUAGGCCCCGAAAUGAAGUGGCGGUCCUGCCGCGGCGCCCCCUGCGUAGUAGAAACACCUCGCAUUGGGACGCGGCGGGCCCACGCCGUUAACCAGAUGAAUUUUUUCAAGGUUGACCUCGGAUCAGGUAGGAAUACCCGCUGAACUUAAGCAUAUCAAUAAGCGGAGGA